UACUCUCACACUCUCUGAUCCUUUGGAUUGGGAGUGGUGGACUUGGGUGUUGCUGCUGCGCGGUGGCUCACCUCAAAUGCAUUAGUGCAACUCCUAGUUGGACAUAGUACGGCGUGAUAAGUGUCUUCGCCGGCUCCUCGUAAAGAGGGUGGCCGAUCGGGAGCUCUGUUGCUUCAAACUGUCUUCGGACAAUCUUCUGGCG
Molecule: unclassified non-coding RNA, 202 nt
Filed under: uncultured Sebacina
Lineage: Eukaryota; Fungi; Basidiomycota; Agaricomycetes; Sebacinales; Sebacinaceae
Description: sequence contains ITS2
Source: RNAcentral